UAAUCUAUACUUGGUUUUGGCUUCUGUGG
RNAcentral lists this non-coding RNA (29 nucleotides) under Rattus norvegicus (Norway rat). The record is from RNAcentral. Lineage: Eukaryota; Metazoa; Chordata; Mammalia; Rodentia; Muridae.